RNAcentral lists this long non-coding RNA (1706 nucleotides) under Vigna radiata. RNAcentral describes it as "long non-coding RNA (VRAD_LNC015590)". The record is from RNAcentral. Lineage: Eukaryota; Viridiplantae; Streptophyta; Magnoliopsida; Fabales; Fabaceae.
AAGUUAGAGAGCUUGAUGACUUAGUGUCGUUGGGCACCACCUAGAAUUGUUGGACGUAAGAAUUCAAAUUAAAUCUUAGCAGCUCCAAUGGUACUUUCACUAGCAUUGGGCGUCGUUUGGCUAACACCAGGUGCAAUUAUUUUAGAGGAAUCCUUGGUGGAAUUGUGUUGGGUAGAGAUUUUUUUAAUUGUUUAGAAUUUCAUUAGUGAUUACAAUAUGUAUAUUCAUCUAUGAUAAAAUGAGAUAAUGGUAAUUAAUUGUUGUCAACACCUAAUUUUGUCCAGAUAAAUAAAGUUCAUCACAAAAAUAAAGAAUAAAAAUAAAGAUAAUACUAUUUGUUUUACUGUUUGCAUCCCUAAAUUAACUUUUUAACCCUUAGCCCAAUGACCCAAAAUAAUCCAAUACUUUUUACUUCUUCACCACUUUUUUUUUUUCUUUUUCACACCCCACUCUCCAUAUCACCCUCCACAUUACCUUCCACACCAUCCACCUUUUUUUAUCUACUCUUUCCACCUCAUUUUUAUAUUAAUUUUUAUAUACUAACUUUCUAAUUAUUCCACUUACUAUUUUAAAUUUUAUUUUAUCCACCACAUUUCCACCAACUUUUUUUAUUAUUUCUUUUAUCCAUUUUUUCCAUUUACUUUUCCACCCCUUUUUAUAUUAAUUUCUCUUACUAACUUUUAUUUAUACCAUUCACUUUUCUAAAUUAUAUUUUAUCCACCACAUUCUCCACCAACCUUUUUUUAUUAUUUCCUUCAUCCACUUCUUCAUCCACUUUUCCACCCUACUUUAUUUUUGUCAAUUUCUCACACUAACUUUUUUAUUCCAUUCACUUUUCUAAAUUAUAUUUUAUCUACCACCUUUUCCACCAAUCUUAUUUUAUUAUUUCCUUCAUAUAUUUUCUUCCUCUACUCUUUCCACUCAUAUUUUAUAUUAUUUUUCUUUACCAACUUUGUUUGCCUAAUUUCCCCCAUUAAUUCUUUUACUUAUUUUCUACAUUAACUUUUUCUAUUAAAUUUUUUUAUUAUAUUUUAUUUCACCUAAUUUCUCCACCCACUUUUUAUAUUAUUUCUUUCAUUUAUUUUCCACACUAACUUUUACUAUUUACAUUUUUAUUAUAUUUUAUUUCAUCUAAUUUUUCCACCCACUUAUUAUAUUAUUUUUAUUCAUUAACUUUCUUCAUCCAUAACUCUAUAAAUACCCAUACACUCGUCACUCCAUUUUUACACAUAGUCAUACAAUAUCCAUCUCUUCUCUCCCAUACCACAUAUCUUUCCACAUAUUUCUUCUUUCCCAUACUAUCACUCUUCCAUAACACACACACACCACAUAUCUUCACACACACUCAUAUCUUCUCUCUCCACUCCAUCAUCAAACACUUCAACACAUCCUCUCUUCCAUAUCAACAUUUUCAUCUCCUAAAGCUUCCAUUUUCACUUGCAUUUUGAUUGGACUAUCCUUGUCUUCUCAUCUAAGUUCUUAUCCCUUCACCUCUUCUUUUUUAGUUUGAAUUAUCUUGUUAAACUUUGUUUUAUUGUUCCAUAAUUGCUUUUAUUGUUUUUAAUUCUACAUUUUCUUUUAUAGACCAUUUUGUUUUUUUUUUCUUAAUAAAAGAUCACAAAAAUAUUGAUUAUCAUGUCAAAUCUCAAAUUUGCUUGAUAAUUGAAUUUUUCAUAAUAAUAAUUAGGCUUAAUAUCUCCCUUGAU